UACGUAGGGGGCAAGCGUUGUCCGGAUUUAUUGGGCGUAAAGAGCGUGUAGGCGGCCAGAUAGGUCCGUUGUGAAAACUGGAGGCUUAACCUCCAGCUGUCGAUGGAAACCAUCUGGCUAGAGUCCGGAAGAGGAGAGUGGAAUUCCUGGUGUAGCGGUGAAAUGCGCAGAUAUCAGGAAGAACACCCGUGGCGAAGGCGGCUCGCUGGGACGGUACUGACGCUGAGGCGCGAAAGCGUGGGGAGCAAACAGG
RNAcentral lists this ribosomal RNA (253 nucleotides) under uncultured bacterium. Its description in RNAcentral is "partial 16S ribosomal RNA". It matches the Rfam family "Bacterial small subunit ribosomal RNA", at positions 524 to 776 of the family's 1533-position model. The record is from RNAcentral.